This 261-nucleotide unclassified non-coding RNA is filed under the name Hevea brasiliensis (rubber tree). The record is from RNAcentral. Lineage: Eukaryota; Viridiplantae; Streptophyta; Magnoliopsida; Malpighiales; Euphorbiaceae.
AAAAACUGUAUGGCUAUUUGUGAUGUGUCAAAUAGCAUGAAUGGAACACCAAUGGAGGCGUCCAUAGCAUUGGGCAUGUUAGUUUCUAAACUGAGCGAGAAACCAUGGAAGGGAAAGUUAAUUACUUUCAGUGAAAAACCUACCCUUCAAAUGGUCCGACGGGAUAGUCUUAUGGAGAAAACAGAGUUUGUGAGAAGAAUGGAGGGGGGUUACGAAGGCUGAUUUCCAAAAGGUGUUUGAUCUAAUCCUGCAAGUGGCUGC